Long non-coding RNA from Pieris napi, 197 nucleotides. RefSeq lists it as uncharacterized. The record is from RefSeq and is a predicted model, not a curated record. NCBI's taxonomy places the organism in Eukaryota, Metazoa, Arthropoda, Insecta, Lepidoptera, Pieridae. The transcript is spliced from 2 exons.
UUAUAAAUAUAGUUUUACAAAUUGUUUCACUUAUAAAAUAAUAUGAUGGGCUUAAACCUGACAAACUCGCUGAAUUGAGAGAAAGAAAUAUAUGAAUAUAAUAUGUUUAUAUCCAAUUGAACAUUGCCUGAAGACACCUUUUUCUAUCUUGAUGGAGUCAUCUACUAAAUAAAUACUGUUAUUACAUUAUUUUCAAA